UUGAUUCUUGGUGACAAAUAUGUAAAAGAUGUAAGAAUUCAAUACCUUGAAGGAGAGCUUUGGGUUUGAACUAGAUCUUGAUUCUUCAGAUUAAACGGCUGUUUCUCCGGUGUCUGAUUGAAAACACGAGUUGAUUCAGUAGUCGUUGGCGGUUUCAAAGGUGAAGAAGAUGCAACGUUGAUGGACGUCGAGGUUUCGUUGCCGCAAGCUUCCAUGGCGGACGGUUUCAAAGGUGAAGAUGCGACGACGUCGAUAGACGGCAAAGUUUCGUUGCGGCAAGCUUCCAUGGCGGACGGUUUCAAAGGUGAAGAUGCGACGUUAACGGACGACAAGGUUUUGGAAGCUUGAUCAUGAGCCAUCGUCAGUCAGCGAAGAGUAUGGUCUCUCUUUUGGCGCGGGACUUUCUUCAAGAAUAUUUCCAAAGAGGCACGGAGUAACCGUUUUAACUUAUAUAAAGAGUCAAAACCGACUAAACGGAUCUUUGAGCAAUAACAAAA
Molecule: long non-coding RNA, 497 nt
Organism: Brassica napus (rape)
Lineage: Eukaryota; Viridiplantae; Streptophyta; Magnoliopsida; Brassicales; Brassicaceae
Exons: 2
Source: RefSeq, a predicted model, not a curated record